This is a long non-coding RNA of Hibiscus syriacus, 147 nucleotides long. RefSeq lists it as uncharacterized. NCBI's taxonomy places the organism in Eukaryota, Viridiplantae, Streptophyta, Magnoliopsida, Malvales, Malvaceae. The transcript is spliced from 3 exons. The record is from RefSeq and is a predicted model, not a curated record.
CAAGAUAUUCGAUUGACCAUAGAAGCUGCAUUUCAUAUCAAAUCAGUGCUAAAUCAUACCAGAAAGAACCACUGGACCUUAACUUAGGCAUAGCUGACAAACAGAUUAUGAACAUGUUAUGUCUUUUCCUUAGCAUCAUGCUACAUG